Molecule: ribosomal RNA, 497 nt
Filed under: uncultured bacterium
Lineage: Bacteria
Description: partial 16S ribosomal RNA
Rfam family: Bacterial small subunit ribosomal RNA
Source: RNAcentral
GAUGAACGCUGGCGGCGUGCCUAAUACAUGCAGGUAGAACGCUGAAGGAAGGAGCUUGCUCUUUCCGGAUGAGUUGCGAACGGGUGAGUAACGCGUAGGUAACCUGCCUGGUAGCGGGGGAUAACUAUUGGAAACGAUAGCUAAUACCGCAUAAUAGUAGGUGUUGCAUGAUAUCUACUUAAAAGGUGCAAUUGCACCACUACCAGAUGGACCUGCGUUGUAUUAGCUAGUUGGUGAGGUAACGGCUCACCAAGGCGACGAUACAUAGCCGACCUGAGAGGGGGAUCGGCCACACUGGGACGGAGACACGGCCCAGAGUCCUACGGGAGGCAGCAGAAGGGAAUCGUCGGCAAUGGGCGGGAGUCUGACCGAGCAACGCCGCGUGAGUGAAGAAGGUUUUCGGAUCGUAAAGCUCUGUUGUAAGAGAAGAACGAGUGUGAGAGUGGAAAGUUCACACUGUGACGGUAUCUUACCAGAAAGGGACGGCUAACUACGUG